Molecule: long non-coding RNA, 366 nt
Organism: Oncorhynchus keta (chum salmon)
Lineage: Eukaryota; Metazoa; Chordata; Actinopteri; Salmoniformes; Salmonidae
Exons: 3
Source: RefSeq, a predicted model, not a curated record
AUUGUUAUCACAUCUACAAAACAAUUCUGUGGUGAGGUUACCCAGAAAGUGAGCUUGCAUCUGCUCUCACGGGGGAGUGGGAAGAGCAGCUGUGGACAAAGAAGACAGUGUGAGGACCACAGAGUAGGAGAUGAAAGGUACAUGCUUAUGGAGGGAGACCAAUCUGGGACUGUAGCACCACAAUCUGGCCCGUCAUUUGGAUGUCAUUACUGAGUUGAUUCCAGGUGUCGCUUAUUUUCCCCAGUGUAUUUAUCCCUGUGUUUCCUGUCUCUCUGACCGGUGAGUGGGCCAGGAGAAACAUGAAGAGCUGCUGUGACAUGUGUAGUAUAGACCAGAGCUGUAUGGAGUACAGUACAGUAUAGGAGA